UCCACGCCGUAAACGAUGUCUACUAGCUGUUCGUGGUCUUGUACUGUGAGUAGCGCAGCUAACGCACUAAGUAGACCGCCUGGGGAGUACGGUCGCAAGAUUAAAACUCAAAUGAAUUGACGGGGGCCCGCACAAGCGGUGGAGCAUGUGGUUUAAUUCGACGCAACGCGAAGAACCUUACCUACUCUUGACAUCUAGCGAAGAUUGUAGAGAUACGAUUGUGCCUUCGGGAACGCUAAGACAGGUGCUGCAUGGCUGUCGUCAGCUCGUGUUGUGAAAUGUUGGGUUAAGUCCCGCAACGAGCGCAACCCUUAUCCUUAGUUGCCAGCACGUAAUGGUGGGAACUCUAGGGAGACUGCCGGUGAUAAACCGGAGGAAGGUGGGGACGACGUCAAGUCAUCAUGGCCCUUACGAGUAGGGCU
This 422-nucleotide ribosomal RNA is filed under the name uncultured bacterium. RNAcentral's name for it is "bacterial SSU rRNA". It matches the Rfam family "Bacterial small subunit ribosomal RNA", at positions 794 to 1215 of the family's 1533-position model. The record is from RNAcentral.